UAGACCUGGGUUUGCUCGGCAGUCUGAAAUAUUGACUAGAACAUCAAAGUGAGUUUGGAGAGGAAGGGUUACUUGAUAGACUUGAUGUUGCAAUUUACCUGAUUCUUUUCCAACUCUAGAUAUUUCUAACAUUGAUGUUGUAAUCUCAUUUCUAAAUACCCCUAUUUCCUAAAUAUUUGGCAUUUGGCCUUGUUUUUCUUUGGAUUCUUCUGAAAAGUCAGUACUUACCUAAUCACUUUGACAUAAACACUCAGUGAAUCAUGGCAGGGGUCUUCUAUAUAAAUUUAUAUAUGCUUGCAGGAAAUAGGGCCAUGAUCUAAAGCCUUUUCUCAUCAGUAUCAGUGUGCAGGAAGUUUAAGUAAAUGGUUUUUUGGUGGUUUUUAUAGCAUAACUAAGCUGUCAAUACUAGUGCUCUUCCAAAUCAUGAUGUGCUUACAACUCAGCAACAAUAGUGACAACUUAGUUUGUUCUGUUGCUGCCCAUUGCCUUGAUCUGCUCAUUUGAAGGGCCAAAUCCAGCCUGAAGUUGAAAGAUAUUUUGGUUGGAUUUGACUGAUCAUUAUGGAAGCAAAGUUUCCAUAAUGAAACUGGCUGUAGUAUUUCUGCCUUGAAAAGGAUUUUUUAAAGGUUGAAGAUAAGGCUGAAAGCUUCACUUAUAAGAAGACUUCAAGGAUUUCUCCUUUCCCCCAACCCCAAAUGUAAAAGAGAGCAGCAACUUUUCUGCCAAGAUUGGAGGUGGUUCUUUUGAAAUCAGAUACAGACUCAUCCCCAGGCUACUGAGACUGGGAGUUAUGGGCCUGUUUGAAUAUUUCAUGAAGAGGAGCUGGUUGAUACAACACUGAAACUACCUCAGGUUUGGAGGCAUCACGGUACUUGGUUGGCGACAGUGGGGACUCACAGGUCAGAGAAGGGACAAAUGAGUUUGUGUGCAGAAGAUACCCUUUUCUAUUUCACAACCACUUUGUGGAGACUCAGUCCCACCUAACGAGGAUGCACAUAGACUGAACUGAUGCCUUCCUGUCUUUUGUGGCAGCUGAGCUAUUUGUCUUCUCCCGUCUCCUACCUUCAUUUCUUCCUGCAGACAACAGCAUUCACUCCUGUCACAUCGGGCCCAGGAGAUUGGAGUUAAAAUUCAGAUAAAGGAGACCUUGGUCUCCUUCCUGUGCCACCUCUUGUCUGAGCUGAGGCAUCCUCCCACAUGGAGAAAGGAGCUGCAAAAAUCACUGGUCAAUCCGUUCUUCUUCAUGCCUUGUCAAUCCUUGCUAAGAGAGAGUGUGAGACAUUCCCCCCUCCCGUAAGUCUUGACUUAAGUGAACCACAGGAUCAUCUUUUCAUGGUGGCUUUUAAAAAGGAAGGCUUUACCUGCCUUUGCUUCAGCCUUUCAGUGAUCCUUUGAGAUCCCACAUGAGUUUGUGACCAUUCCUGAGCCCCGAGCUGGAAUUUCUAAAGCACUACCAGCAGCAACCCUAGGCAAAAUAAUGGAUGAAUGAGAGCAGAAGGAAGCACCAUGUGCUCUCAGAGUGGAGAACUGCACGUUCACAUAAGCUCUGAACAAUUUCUGAUUUUAUACUUUGCCAGUGUGUUAUUUAUGCUCUUGGAGCAUGGGGCGCAUCUGCUUGGUCAGCCUUGACAGUGGCCUGGCUCCAGGGAUCAAGACAAGCUGACCAAAGCAUUUCCAAAUUCUUGGUCAUAUUUGAGACCUCCUUGAGCUCCUGACUGGGUUACAUGAAUGCUGUGCUCGGAAGAAAGAGGAAGCAUUGGUUUGAGUUGUAGGUUGCAAGUGUUUCAGAGUGGCCUUGUAACCUCCUGAAUGUUGAGUCAGCCAUGUGUCAGGCACUGGUGCUGGUAACAGUACCAGUGUAAUAUGGCCUUGGGAUUGUUCUGUGUACAUCCCCUGCUCCUUUUGUGGUUUUGAAUUUCCCUAAAAAAGUUUUUUUCCUAAACUUUGGUAAUGAAGAUGAAAUCCCCCUUCAUUGCAUUUUUAUUCCUUUAUAUAGAUACUAUUGUCUCACUGAAGAAAUGAAUUUAAUAAUGAAUUAUCAUGUUCUCAUUGCUAUACACUUCCCCUUUGUACCUGGAUACCUCUGUUCCCUUUUGUGUUUUGAUAUAAGACUCUCGGACAGCCUGUGUGCUACAUGGGCAUGUGCUACCUACAGACCACACAGCAGCUUCUUCACUGAGAAUAGGUUUGUUCACCACAGUUGCAGUAAGGGCUGCAUUUCCAGUUUUUGCUUUUAUUUAAGUGUCUUUUAUUUACCUAAAUACAAGCCAUCCUUCCACUCUUGGCAAUUUUCACUGUUUCACUCAUAUAGGGCUGCAUUUGUUCAGACCAACCUCGAUGGUCAGUGUACUCUAUCCAUUUUUAUUCAAUGAAAGAGUUAAGCUGGUGACACUGAACUCUCCUCUCAAGGCAGAUAACACACCAUGUGGGUGACACAUUUACAUCUAUCCCUUGGAUUUACAUCUCUCUCCUCUG
This is a long non-coding RNA of Motacilla alba alba, 2475 nucleotides long. RefSeq lists it as uncharacterized. Lineage: Eukaryota; Metazoa; Chordata; Aves; Passeriformes; Motacillidae. The record is from RefSeq and is a predicted model, not a curated record. The transcript is spliced from 3 exons.